RNAcentral lists this ribosomal RNA (842 nucleotides) under uncultured Alphaproteobacteria bacterium. Its description in RNAcentral is "bacterial SSU rRNA". It matches the Rfam family "Bacterial small subunit ribosomal RNA", at positions 34 to 923 of the family's 1533-position model. The record is from RNAcentral. Lineage: Bacteria; Pseudomonadati; Pseudomonadota; Alphaproteobacteria.
CGCUGGCGGCAGGCCUAACACAUGCAAGUCGAGCGCACUCUUCGGAGUGAGCGGCGGACGGGUUAGUAACGCGUGGGAACGUACCCAGAUCUAAGGAAUAGCCACUGGAAACGGUGAGUAAUACCUUAUACGCCCUUCGGGGGAAAGAUUUAUCGGAUUUGGAUCGGCCCGCGUUAGAUUAGGUAGUUGGUGGGGUAAUGGCCUACCAAGCCUACGAUCUAUAGCUGGUUUUAGAGGAUGAUCAGCAACACUGGGACUGAGACACGGCCCAGACUCCUACGGGAGGCAGCAGUGGGGAAUCUUAGACAAUGGGCGCAAGCCUGAUCUAGCCAUGCCGCGUGAGUGAUGAAGGCCUUAGGGUCGUAAAGCUCUUUCGCCUGUGAUGAUAAUGACAGUAGCAGGUAAAGAAACCCCGGCUAACUCCGUGCCAGCAGCCGCGGUAAUACGGAGGGGGUUAGCGUUGUUCGGAAUUACUGGGCGUAAAGCGCACGUAGGCGGAUUAGAAAGUUAGGGGUGAAAUCCCGGGGCUCAACCUCGGAACUGCCUCUAAAACUCCUAGUCUAGAGUUCGAGAGAGGUGAGUGGAAUUCCAAGUGUAGAGGUGAAAUUCGUAGAUAUUUGGAGGAACACCAGUGGCGAAGGCGGCUCACUGGCUCGAUACUGACGCUGAGGUGCGAAAGUGUGGGGAGCAAACAGGAUUAGAUACCCUGGUAGUCCACACCGUAAACGAUGAAUGCCAGUCGUCGGCAAGUAUACUUGUCGGUGACACACCUAACGGAUUAAGCAUUCCGCCUGGGGAGUACGGUCGCAAGAUUAAAACUCAAAGGAAUUGACGGGGGCCCG